GGCCGUUAGUUUUCUCGUUUGAAUUGUUUUACAUUGUUAUAUCGGGGCCUUUUAUAGCUGUCUAUGUUGUAUGGGCUUUGCUCAUUGUUGAAGGCCGUACGGUUAUCUAUAAAUGUUAAUUUCUGUGUCAUUUUGGUCUCUUGGGGACAGCUGUCUCAUUGGCAAUCAUACCACAUCUUCUUUUUUAUUAUAGAUCCAACGCUGCAAUUUUCACAAAACAUAUCAAAUUUUCCACCUUGUCGCAC
This 245-nucleotide long non-coding RNA is filed under the name Mytilus galloprovincialis (Mediterranean mussel). The record is from RNAcentral. Lineage: Eukaryota; Metazoa; Mollusca; Bivalvia; Mytilida; Mytilidae.